This 465-nucleotide ribosomal RNA is filed under the name uncultured bacterium. Its description in RNAcentral is "partial 16S ribosomal RNA". It matches the Rfam family "Bacterial small subunit ribosomal RNA", at positions 28 to 507 of the family's 1533-position model. The record is from RNAcentral.
GACGAACGCUGGCGGCGUGCUUAACACAUGCAAGUCGAACGGAAAGGCCCUGCUUGCAGGGUACUCGAGUGGCGAACGGGUGAGUAACACGUGGGUUAUCUGCCCUGCACUUCGGGAUAAGCCUGGGAAACUGGGUCUAAUACCGGAUAGGAGCCAUUUUUAGUGUGAUGGUUGGAAAGUUUUUUCGGUGUAGGAUGAGCUCGCGGCCUAUCAGCUUGUUGGUGGGGUAAUGGCCUACCAAGGCGGCGACGGGCAGCCGGCCUGAGAGGGUGGACAGCCACAUUGGGACUGAGAUACGGCCCAGACUCCUACGGGAGGCAGCAGUGGGGAAUAUUGCACAAUGGGCGCAAGCCUGAUGCAGCGACGCCGCGUGGGGGAUGACGGCCUUCGGGUUGUAAACUCCUUUCGCUAGGGACGAAGCUUUUUGUGACGGUACCUAGAUAAGAAGCACCGGCUAACUACGUG